AGGACGAACGCUGGCGGCGUGCUUAACACAUGCAAGUCGAGCGGUAAGGCCUUUCGGGGUACACGAGCGGCGAACGGGUGAGUAACACGUGGGUGAUCUGCCCUGCACUUCGGGAUAAGCCUGGGAAACUGGGUCUAAUACCGGAUAUGACCUCAGGUUGCAUGACUUGGGGUGGAAAGAUUUAUCGGUGCAGGAUGGGCCCGCGGCCUAUCAGCUUGUUGGUGGGUAAUGGCCUACCAAGGCGACGACGGGUAGCCGACCUGAGAGGACGACCAGCCACACUGGGACUGAGACACGGCCCAGACUCCUACGGGAGGCAGCAGUGGGAAUUUGGACAAUGGGGAAACCCUGAUCAGCCAUCCGCGUGUGCGAUGAAGGCCUCGGUUGUAAGCACUUUGGCAGGAAGAACGGCGUGCCCGUAAUACGGACGUCGACUGACGGUACCUGCAGAAUAAGCACCGGCUAACUACGUGCCGAGUACGCCGC
This 486-nucleotide ribosomal RNA is filed under the name uncultured soil bacterium. RNAcentral's name for it is "bacterial SSU rRNA". It matches the Rfam family "Bacterial small subunit ribosomal RNA", at positions 26 to 518 of the family's 1533-position model. The record is from RNAcentral.